Molecule: ribosomal RNA, 253 nt
Filed under: uncultured bacterium
Lineage: Bacteria
Also listed under: 1 other name
Description: partial 16S ribosomal RNA
Rfam family: Bacterial small subunit ribosomal RNA
Source: RNAcentral
AACGUAGGGGACAAGCGUUAUCCGGAUUUACUGGGCGUAAAGCGCCCGUAGGCGGCCUGUCAAGUUGGAUGUGAAAGCUCCUGGCUUAACUGGGAGAGGUCAUUCAAAACUGACAGGCUAGAGGAUGGAAGAGGAGAGCGGAAUUCCCGGUGUAGUGGUGGAAUGCGUAGAGAUCGGGAGGAACACCAGUGGCGAAAGCGGCUCUCUGGUCCGUACCUGACGCUGAGGGGCGAAAGCGUGGGGAGCGAACGGG